UUUUGUCAUUUUAAGUUUAAUCCUCUGUUUGCAUAUUUUAUGUGACUUUGGGGAUAGAUUAAUUUUUGAUUGUGGGUCAUAAUUGCGGCUUAAUAAUUUUGUUGAUUUGUUUAUUUUGUUUGGUUUAAUGAAAUAAGUGUUUGGGCUAAGAGGUUAUUUUGUGUUUGGGUUUAAAAAAGUUGUUUUGGUUUAUUUUGUUUGUUUUUUCUGGUUUGGGCUAGAGAGCCAAAGCCCAUCUAUUUGGUUGGCUAAUUUUGGGCCAAAAUAAUAUGCUAGCCCAUUUCAGUACUUUGGACUUCCGAUCGGGCCAAUUUGUUUUGGCCCAAGAAAUUAAUAAAAUGGCCCCAUGGCCUAGUCCAUUAAGAAACCAGAGAACGCAUUUGCAGAUCAGUCCCUGUACU
This 401-nucleotide long non-coding RNA is filed under the name Coffea arabica (coffee). Its description in RNAcentral is "long non-coding RNA (CARA_LNC008135)". Lineage: Eukaryota; Viridiplantae; Streptophyta; Magnoliopsida; Gentianales; Rubiaceae. The record is from RNAcentral.